GUCAAGGUGCCAGAGUGGUUAAUGGGCUGCCCUGCUAUCAUACCUUUGAUAUCAAAUUAGGCAGUGGCUUCGGUCGCGCAGGUUCGAAUCCUGUCCUUGACG
This 102-nucleotide transfer RNA is filed under the name Colletotrichum incanum. It matches the Rfam family "tRNA". Rfam says of the family: Transfer RNA (tRNA) molecules are approximately 80 nucleotides in length. The record is from Rfam by way of RNAcentral. Lineage: Eukaryota; Fungi; Ascomycota; Sordariomycetes; Glomerellales; Glomerellaceae.